This is a long non-coding RNA of Lacerta agilis (Sand lizard), 373 nucleotides long. RefSeq lists it as uncharacterized. NCBI's taxonomy places the organism in Eukaryota, Metazoa, Chordata, Lepidosauria, Squamata, Lacertidae. The record is from RefSeq and is a predicted model, not a curated record. The transcript has 2 exons.
UAAGUCCUUUGUUAUCUCUUUGAAAUGAAUAUGGCUAAUAGUGUACCAAGUUGCACGGACUUGCCUGCAGUGUUUGAACCAGUCCCAUAUACAUUUUGCUUGAUUCUUUUUCCCUUCAUCAUUUUCUCAUGUCAUCCCGGCUUAUAGAGAAAGUCAAGCAUUAACAGAUGAUGGGAAUAGAAGAGCAUUGUGCUUCAGGAUAGUGAUCUUACAGUGCACAUCUGGAGCAGUCUGCCUAAACCUUGAUUUGCAAUGGUGGUUAAGGGCAUCAGAUGUCAUCACUCAGACAAACACAAUGUGUUAUGUGGAAGAAAUCACAAUGCAUACAAAACAUGCCACAUGAUCACAAAUAAAGCCAUGCAUCAUUUGUUGA